AGGGCUGUCGGGAGCGCUGUGACUGCGAGCACGGGGCUGGCUGUGACCCCGCCACCGGGCGCUGCCGCUGUCCCCCUGGGCUGCGGGGCGAGCGCUGUCACACAGGCUGCAAGGAAGGGACGUACGGCGAGGGGUGCCAGCGGCUCUGUGACUGCCCCAGCGAUGUCCCCUGCGACCCGACCACGGGGCGCUGCCUGUGCCCUCCGGGCAAAACCGGCCCCACGUGUGCUGUAGACUGCCGGCCCACGCAGUUCGGCCCCGACUGCCGCCUGCCCUGCCAGUGUGCCCCCGGCAGCUCCUACUGCAACGCCAGGAACGGGCAGUGCCUCUGCCUGAACGGCCACACGGGACCCACCUGCCGGGAAGCCACGCCAUCCCUGCCUCCCACCAGGCCACCACCACCCCCGGGGGGGCUCUGGCCGGCAGAGAAGUAGGUCCUGCUCUGGGAGCACUCCCUUGGUUCAACCAAGCAGCCACCUAAAGAAGCCAAUGACCUGUAAUGAACUCAUUUAUGAGCCACAUGAGCAGCUCUUGUCUCCUAACAGCCCCAGCUGCUGCUUUUGGGGUGGUCUGAGUGAGGCUGAAGUGCCCAGUAUAACCAGUUCACUGUGCCAGCGCGGGCUGGCCGUGAGGACACGUGUGCCCACACCAGUGCGUGCCUUUGGCCAGAGACCAGGUGACCAGUUCA
Molecule: non-coding RNA, 688 nt
Organism: Pseudopodoces humilis (Tibetan ground-tit)
Lineage: Eukaryota; Metazoa; Chordata; Aves; Passeriformes; Paridae
Source: RefSeq, a predicted model, not a curated record